GAUGAACGCUGGCGGCGUGCUUAACACAUGCAAGUCGAACGUGAGGGGGUAGCAAUAUCCUUGAAAGUGGCGCACGGGUGAGUAAUACGUAGGUAACCUGCCCUGGAGUGGGGGAUAACAGCUAGAAAUGGCUGCUAAUACCGCAUGAGGCCGAGACACUGGGAAGUGUUUUGGCGAAAAACUCUGGUGCUUCAGGAGGGGCCUGCGGCCGAUUAGCUAGUUGGCGGGGUAAGAGCCCACCAAGGCAGUGAUCGGUAGCUGGUCUGAGAGGACGAUCAGCCACACGGGAACUGAGACACGGUCCCGACUCCUACGGGGGGCAGCAGUGAGGAAUAUUGGGCAAUGGGCGGAAGCCUGACCCAGCAACGCCGCGUGGAGGAAGACGGCCUUCGGGUUGUAAACUCCUUUACGGGGAAGAGGAAGGACGGUACCCGACGAAUAAGCCACGGCUAACUACGUGCCAG
RNAcentral lists this ribosomal RNA (464 nucleotides) under uncultured bacterium. RNAcentral describes it as "bacterial SSU rRNA". It matches the Rfam family "Bacterial small subunit ribosomal RNA", at positions 28 to 511 of the family's 1533-position model. The record is from RNAcentral.